This 108-nucleotide Y RNA is filed under the name Microcebus murinus (gray mouse lemur). Its description in RNAcentral is "Y RNA (ENSMICG00000048061.1)". It matches the Rfam family "Y RNA". Rfam says of the family: Y RNAs are components of the Ro ribonucleoprotein particle (Ro RNP), in association with Ro60 and La proteins. The Y RNAs and Ro60 and La proteins are well conserved, but the function of the Ro RNP is not known. Lineage: Eukaryota; Metazoa; Chordata; Mammalia; Primates; Cheirogaleidae. The record is from Rfam by way of RNAcentral.
GACAGGUGUGAAGAUAGUGGGUUAUCUCAAUUGAUUGUUCACAGUUACAGAUCAAACUGCUUGUUCUAUAAUUUCCCCCUUCUCACUGAUGUACUUGACUAGUCUUAA